UGGCAGUGCACUACUAGCUGGCUGUUGAGAUAUAUUCAUUUUUACAGUGGUUAGUUGCACUCCACA
RNAcentral lists this microRNA precursor (66 nucleotides) under Anolis carolinensis (green anole). Its description in RNAcentral is "Aca-Mir-34-P3a_pre stem-loop". The record is from RNAcentral. Lineage: Eukaryota; Metazoa; Chordata; Lepidosauria; Squamata; Anolidae.